Molecule: ribosomal RNA, 786 nt
Filed under: uncultured Haemophilus sp.
Lineage: Bacteria; Pseudomonadati; Pseudomonadota; Gammaproteobacteria; Pasteurellales; Pasteurellaceae
Description: bacterial SSU rRNA
Rfam family: Bacterial small subunit ribosomal RNA
Source: RNAcentral
AGGAGAAAGCUUGCUUUCUUGCUGACGAGUGGCGGACGGGUGAGUAAUGCUUGGGAAUCUGGCUUAUGGAGGGGGAUAACGACGGGAAACUGUCGCUAAUACCGCGUAUUAUCGGAAGAUGAAAGUGCGGGACUGAGAGGCCGCAUGCCAUAGGAUGAGCCCAAGUGGGAUUAGGUAGUUGGUGGGGUAAAUGCCUACCAAGCCUGCGAUCUCUAGCUGGUCUGAGAGGAUGACCAGCCACACUGGAACUGAGACACGGUCCAGACUCCUACGGGAGGCAGCAGUGGGGAAUAUUGCGCAAUGGGGGGAACCCUGACGCAGCCAUGCCGCGUGAAUGAAGAAGGCCUUCGGGUUGUAAAGUUCUUUCGGUAUUGAGGAAGGUUGAUGUGUUAAUAGCACAUCAAAUUGACGUUAAAUACAGAAGAAGCACCGGCUAACUCCGUGCCAGCAGCCGCGGUAAUACGGAGGGUGCGAGCGUUAAUCGGAAUAACUGGGCGUAAAGGGCACGCAGGCGGUUAUUUAAGUGAGGUGUGAACAGCCCUGGGCUUAACCUAGGAAUUGCAUUUCAGACUGGGUAACUAGAGUACUUUAGGGAGGGGUAGAAUUCCACGUGUAGCGGUGAAAUGCGUAGAGAUGUGGAGGAAUACCGAAGGCGAAGGCAGCCCCUUGGGAAUGUACUGACGCUCAUGUGCGAAAGCGUGGGGAGCAAACAGGAUUAGAUACCCUGGUAGUCCACGCUGUAAACGCUGUCGAUUUGGGGGUUGGGGUUUAACUCUGGCGCCCGUA